This 484-nucleotide ribosomal RNA is filed under the name uncultured bacterium. RNAcentral describes it as "partial 16S ribosomal RNA". It matches the Rfam family "Bacterial small subunit ribosomal RNA", at positions 29 to 507 of the family's 1533-position model. The record is from RNAcentral.
AUUGAACGCUGGCGGGAUGCUUAACACAUGCAAGUCGAACGGCAGCGCGGACUUCGGUCUGGCGGCGAGUGGCGAACGGGUGAGUAAUGUAUAGGAACGUGCCCAGUAGCGGGGGAUAACUACGCGAAAGCGUAGCUCAUACCGCAUACGCCCUAAGGGGGAACGCAGGGGAUCGUAAGACCUUGCACUAUUGGGGCGGCCGGUAUCGGAUUAGCUAGUUGGUGAGGUAACGGCCCACCAAGGCGACGAUCCGUAGCUGGGAUGAGAGGGCGACCUGCCACACUGGGACUGAGACACGGCCCAGACUCCUACGGGAGGCAGCAGUGGGGAAUUUUGGACAAUGGGGGCAACCCUGAUCCAGCCAUCCCGCGUGUGUGAUGAAGGCCUUCGGGUUGUAAAGCACUUUUGGCAGGAAAGAAACGUCGCGUGCUAAUACCCCGUGGAACUGACGGUACCUGCAGAAUAAGCGCCGGCUAACUACGUG